RNAcentral lists this ribosomal RNA (254 nucleotides) under uncultured bacterium. RNAcentral's name for it is "partial 16S ribosomal RNA". It matches the Rfam family "Bacterial small subunit ribosomal RNA", at positions 524 to 776 of the family's 1533-position model. The record is from RNAcentral.
UACGUAGGGCGCAAGCGUUUGUCCGGAAUUAUUGGGCGUAAAGAGCUCGUAGGCGGCCUGUUGCGUCCGCUGUGAAAUCCCGGGGCUCAACCCCGGGCCUGCAGUGGAUACGGGCUGGCUAGAGGCAGGCAGGGGAGAAUGGAAUUCCAGGUGUAGCGGUGAAAUGCGUAGAUAUCUGGAGGAAUACCGGUGGCGAAGGCGGCAUCCUGGACCGAGAUUGACGCUGAUGAGCGAAAGCUAGGGGAGCAAACGGG